Molecule: long non-coding RNA, 512 nt
Organism: Mastomys coucha (southern multimammate mouse)
Lineage: Eukaryota; Metazoa; Chordata; Mammalia; Rodentia; Muridae
Exons: 3
Source: RefSeq, a predicted model, not a curated record
GCAUUAUUGAGGACUUGAUUUGAAGAAAAACCAGCCACUCAUGUGAUUAUGCUACAGGAGUAUAAGCCAGGAUGACGUGUAUUGGUCCUGAAGGGAUUCACCCAUCAAAGACAAAUCCUCAUGCACAAGGACUUUCACUGCAAUAUUAAUGAAAGGAGAGAUCAUCUUAGUGGGAACAUGGGUGCAUUGAAACUAGAGAAAAGCAUGGCAACUUCAAACUCUCCCUGGCUGGAAACAUAUACUAAUUAUCCUGUCCUCGGGUAACCAGAUGAUAUUUUUUCCAUUAAGGCUACAAAGUAACCAGAAAAGCCAUCAUGAUUGGUGAAUUUGAUCAGGACAGUCACCACAUUGGCCAUCCUAUGAGCUGUCUCUAGGUAAUCAUCUGCCUGUCUACUUCUGUGCAGUGGUUGAGUGACCAGCAGCUGAUAUGGCUGUUGUGUCUGUGAAGGCUAAAAUAUUCUAGAACUAGUUCACUGUUUAACCCUGAAAUAAACUCAUAAAGUCAAGCAGAA